AUAUGCUCAAGGACAGGUGGGCCAAGCUGGCCAGGAAAGCCACCAAGCUCCACAACAGCUGCAGGGAGGUGGCCACUGAGGCAGCCUCUGAGGAGGCCACAGCCACCGCCCGGGCCAAGGAGCUGCAGGACGAGGCUGCCCGUGAUGGGACAGCUCAGGAAAACAUGGUGGAGCUGGAUCAGGCCCGGGGCAGGUAGGAGGGGGCCGAGGUGGUGGCCGGGCAUGAAGGCCAGGUGAGGAGAGAGGCCAUGGUGGCUGCCAGAGAGGCAACAAGGGCCACCAUGUUGAGACAGCGGGUGGAGGCGUCCCUGGGGCUGCUGGAGCACUUGGUGGCCGCGUGUGGCGAAGACACGUCGUUCCCCCGGGAGCUUCAGUGGCAGCUCAAAGUCACAAUGGCUUCCCUGGAGGGGACAAAUGAGACAUCCCCUGAUGUCCCUGAGGCCUUGGUGGCCCAGGUUGCCAUGGCAGAUCAGCUCUGGGAGGCCAACGCCUGCCUGGCCAAGGAUCACCUGCUAAGGGCACUUGAUGACAUCUUCAAGUUCUAUAUCAAUGGUGAUCCCACAAGCCCCAGUAUCUGUGGGGCAGCUGAGCAGUGCCAUAGAGCCAUCAAGGACAUCCCAAGGCACCUUUGACCCCUAGAGCGUUGCCAGAGCAUCUCCAAGUUGUCCCCAGUGAGCGUGGAGCUCCAAAAGGUGUCCCCUCCACAGCUGCAGGCGCUGGUGGCCGUGGUGACCGCCCUGGACGAGGUGGUGGCCACUGUGAAGGGGCCACACUGGGGCAAGUUCCCAGACUCCCUGUAUGAAGACCUGAAGAACUUCACCCAGAGCCUCUGUGCGAUCCUGAACAAAGGAGGAGUGCUGCCGCCUCUACCGGGGCUAUGGGUGUGGUGUCCCAGGUCGAGCAGGGCUCUGUGGCAGCACCCCUGCCACACAGACCAAGACAAAUGCUGACACCAAUGUGGUGGACGGUGAAAAGGUGUUUAUUAACUGCCAACAGGGGUAAUUUAUAACAGGGGGUAACAGCAGGGCAACGGUGAAGGGAGAGGGGUUAGGCGUAAUAUCACGAGAUGUCCUAGAUAAUGUGAUAUCUUGACCCCAAAUUUCCCCCGCCUCUUCAUGACCUAUUAAAAACGUAGAAAAUGCUAAGGUUAAAACUGCCUAGUGGGACAGUAACAAACUUGUAACUGUAACAAAACAAACAACUGUAGCAAACUUGUAACAAACUUAUGGCUGUGGAUAUUUAACAAAUGAAAAGUUAAACAAUGUAAUGCAUACAAAAAACUAACUAUCUCUAACUGGUUUUCUAUGAAAAAACAACACGGACUUAUUUAAAAUACAGGGCGAUCAGCCGUGGGGCUGAGUGAACCAUGACUUCGGGCAUUCUUGCAGGACUUUCUCAGCUUAUCUGUUGACAUCACAGCACCAAAUUGUCCUCCCAGAAUCUGCAAUCUGUUUGACUUUAAAACCAGGGUGUUUUGGAGAGUGCAUGUCCGGACCCAUUUUCUCCCCAAAACACCCUUUUAGACCCCUUGGUGCAGGAAAAGUUCUGGGUUGACUGGUAUUCCAUCCAAGUAGAGUCAGAACUUGGCCAGAGUUCCAACUCCACCUGACGGAUACCACUUAGAGCAAGUGCUGAGCUCUUUUUGUCUUUCCCCCAGUUCUUCUUUGCGCCGGCCUCUCACUGGGUUUUUUCACAACCCCGAUGUAGUCGGCCAUCAGGCUGCCUGAUGACUCGGCACUGCCUUCUGGGAGUGGGGUAUGCGGGCCAUGGGUGUGUCUGAGGGUCCAGUCCUGCAAAAGAAGCUUUUCAGAUUUCAUUAGUUCUUGCCCUGAAGGUCUGGUUUUAUUGAUUUGAGCGGGCACCAUUUAAUUUCGCUAUCUUUCUUUACGGCUGCAUACCCUUGCCCCGUGAAUAUCAGCCUCCAACCUGCUUCCCACUUUCCUAACUCAUUUUUGAUUAUUACUUGUGGGCCUGCCUCUAACGCCCGGAUGGCCGAGUGCCUCUGGGCAGGACUUUUGAUUUCCUCUCCCCUUGGGAACUGAGUUAAAGCUAGUAGGGUGGUUGCUAGAAUACGUGCUUGAUCUCUUGGUGGGAUGGAAUUGGUGGCACCUUCUGCCUUUGCGAGCACCUCCAGUUUAUAUUUUAGGGUUUGGAUGGCCCGUUCGACUAUGGCCUAUCCAGUGCUUUUAUAGGGGAUACCAUGGUCUAACGUUAUAUCCCAUUUUGACGCAAAUGCUUGUAUUGAUUUUGAGGUGAAACUCGGACCAUUAUCUGUUUUAAUUUGCCUCGGGAUGCCUAGCCAUGCCAUGGCUGUUAACCAGUGAUGGACCGUUGCUCUGGAAUCAGCUCUUUGGUGUUGCGUGGCCAUGAUUAUCCCACAAUAAGUGUCUACUGUUACCACGAAUCCCGCUUGGGGUCUCAGCAGCUGGCAUAAUGUAAAAUCUGUCUGCCAUAUAUCAGCGGCCUUGGUGCCCCUAGGAUUGACACCGUUGGACCAUAGUUGUGACCUCCGACAGUAGGGGCAUGAGGCGACGACGUGCCUUGCAUCAGGCACGGAGAUCCCGCAUUUUCUCGCGAGCGCUCUGGCUCCGACAUGCAGGGAUUCAUGCAGCCAGCGGGCUUCUCUCAGGGUCCACAGCCCUCUCGCAGCGGCAUCUGCUUUUUUGUUACCAACUUGAAAGAAUCCUUUGACCGGACUGUGGCUGUUGACAUGGAUGAUGGACACGGUGCCCUUUCACGAGUAAAGCGCUUCUUCCAGCAUUGCUGCCACUGUGGACAGUGCCACACCAGCUCGGGUCAUGGUUAGACAGAGUCGGGCCACGAAUAAUGAGUCUCUUACAAUAUUGAGGUGUUUGUCCGGGAACAGUCCACAUGCCAGUGCCACGGCGGCUGGCUCGAGUUGUUGUACUGACAGUGCAAGAUCUGUUGUUUUAAUGCAAAGCCACCACUCUCCUGUCUGCCCCACUACCGCUGCAGUGGAAGUUAAUGAAGAUGUGUCGGUGAAAA
Melospiza melodia melodia is the source of this 3006-nucleotide long non-coding RNA. RefSeq lists it as uncharacterized. The record is from RefSeq and is a predicted model, not a curated record. Lineage: Eukaryota; Metazoa; Chordata; Aves; Passeriformes; Passerellidae. The transcript is spliced from 3 exons.